GUCUCGCCCCCCUCGUAUAUCAACUCCUCUAUGGCUCUGCCCGACCUAGACACCCAGCCGGCCAGCCGCCUCGCCGUCCCGGCAUCGCCGUUCCUCGCGGCUUCGCCGGUCACCAGCCGGAGCCCGGAGUUCAGCCGCCCAGGAGGCUCCCGCCUUUUUCCUGCUUCCCGCCCGGCCGCCCUCCCGGCUCCCGGUCUAGCCGCGCCCCUGCUGUCCCGGCGUCCCGCCGGCCCGGCCGCCCCCUGCAAAUCCCCACCACGGUGGCAGGCAAACCCCUGACUGAUUUGAGAAUUAUUGAAGAAUGAAUAGGACCAGAGACAUUGUUUCUCUUUUCCAGAGAGAAGCUAUUAAUACAGGGAAGAAGAAGAAGGCAGGGAAUGUGCCGCAUGUUGCCGAAGAGCAAACCGGAGAACUGGUGCGUAUGCCGGUUGUGAUUGAAGAGCAAACUCAUGAACCAACAGUUUCUAUGACGAAUGUGACCAUAGAGCAAAAGCAUGGGCCAUAAACAGUCUUUUUGAAGUUCUCAAGGUAUGUACUAUGGUCCAUGUAGUAUUUACUAUGUAGGCUUCUUUAUGAAAAGCUCAGAUUUAUUGAGAAUUUUAGUGUGUUCAUAAAACCAUAUCGAUAUAUUUCUUUUUGAUAUUGAUAAUUAGUUAGAACGUUCACAUGUUAUAUUGGGACGGACCA
Triticum aestivum (bread wheat) is the source of this 687-nucleotide long non-coding RNA. RefSeq lists it as uncharacterized. The record is from RefSeq and is a predicted model, not a curated record. The transcript has 2 exons. Lineage: Eukaryota; Viridiplantae; Streptophyta; Magnoliopsida; Poales; Poaceae.